AGACAGGAGAGAAAACAAACACCCAUCAGUGUGGAAAACUCGAACAUGAACAGAGGGUUUUCUUAAGAGAGCCUUUUUUGCUCCAUCCUCCUUGCCUGCAUUUUCUCAACUGCACAGAGACAGAAACCAUGCACCCAUAAAACACCCCUCUGCUCAUUUUGUGAUCUUGGUAUAUGUCUUUGAUAGGCACGCAAACACGUGCUCCAAAAGAAACAGAAAAGUGACUUCUGCGCUUGCUUCCCAUUGGAGAGUAAAGGAAAGAAAUAUUUUGUUACAAGAAAGAAUUUCUUAAAUUGUGUAUUCUAGCUGGAGGAGACAGGCUAGUUGAAACCUUAGGGGAUUCCGUGAGGCUAUUGCUUGCUCAGAAACAAUUCUUCGGAAUUUUGCAAUGCAGUGACCCUGAUAUUUCAAGUGACCUUGACGUCCUGCCAUUGGGGAGGCCUUUAGUUAAUAAUUUACUGAUUCUCUAGCUUUGUGUGGGCACUGCUGGGCUGGAAAAGGCAGUUCUUGUUUUCGAUCUAGUUAGGGAGAUAAGAUAAGGACACAGAAAACCAUGUGAGGCAGAGGAAAAUGAAAUGACCUAUCUGUUGUGAGGUAUUUAACAGAGGCUGAACCCCUUCCACUCUGGAAAAUAUUCUCAUUCAUUUAAGAAAGGAAAGCAUUUCCAGUGGAAAUCUAGUAUCUGAAUUAUGUUUGAUGAGGACAUAGAACCAAAGAUUUGUUCACUGCGGAAAGGAGAGAACUCCCAAAGACAAUGCUGGAGAGCUCACCCUGGUGGUGAGGACAAGGGAGAGCUGGCGGGCUGACCAACCCUGCAACUACUCAGGCCCAGAACAAGAAUUAUGUGUUGGUUCAGCCCAACAUCCGUUCCAUCUGUGAUCUGCUGGAGCACAGAAAGGAACCAGUUCUUCAGACCCAGAGUUACAGGAUCUCCACAUCACAGGGCAUCAGCAAGAUAACCAGUGAGGGCCCAGCAUCGACAGUGUAGCAGAAACCAGAAGCCUCAAACCAGACCAGUGACUCUCUCCAUUGGACACUUGCAAGAAAAGAUAUAUGGAGCUAAUCAAGACGUCACUGACUCAGGCUCUGCAGUUUCUUCUAUGCUUCAUCAACCGCUAGCUCACGUGUUCCACAAGCCUUUGAGAAACAAUGCGGAGAAGAUGGUCUGCACCAGUUCUCACCUGCCUUGGGCCAAGGUCUAGGUGUUGGUAAGGAAGCUAAAGAGGCCUCUAGGACUUCAAAAGAUUCACAUGAAGUCUGGAACUAAGAUGAUGGAAAACUAAGAUCUUAACUGUGCAGAAGAUAGGAGAAAGGUAGACCGUGCAUGUUGCACCUAAAGAACCGAGGAGGGCUCCUUACACUGACCUCAGAGAAUGAAUGAAAUAUUCAAGGUAGAGACAGCACCGGGAUAAGGGUUAGAAUGACUUCCAAAGGCGAAAAAUAGACGUAGUCAUACUAGAAUUAGACUAUUCCAGGAAGUGGCUCCACCAAAACAAAUGGCUGUUCACUGUAGGGAAUCCCGAGGGGCCAGGAGUUGGGGGAUUCAGUUUAUUAGCGACAGGAGUACUGAGAAGAGGUGGGGAAUAAGGUCAGCCUAUGUGAGAGCAACACAAGGCUAGAGACAGCAAACUAGUAAGUACCUACCCACUUGACACUCUAAUUCCAUUUUUAAAAUGAUAAACCUACUAUGUGAACACAGAAAGGCUAGCAUGGGAAACAUUUUAUCUUUCAAACACCUGAACAAGUGAAAAUGCAGGCUGCAAGGUAUUAUGCAGAAUAUGACUUCACUGCAAAAGCAACAAUGGUGGUGGACGAGUUUAUAAAACUACAUUCCUGGGAGGUAAAACACAGGAAAUGUUUCCAGUGGGGGGUGGGGGUGAAUAUGUGCUUUUUAUUAACCUGUGGUUUCUUUGGUGUUUCUUUGAACAAGCAUUUUUUUUAAAUCAUAGUUUUAAAGGUGUUUCUCUUCUGGUCUGAUAUUUAAAAAAGAAAACAAACAAAAACACAUCUAUUCAGCAGAAUCCUACAUAGUCAUUAAAACCCAGGAGGUAGAAUUAAGGUAUGAAUCUAGGAGGAAGUGCAAAACAAAGUAAGGGUCAGGCCAGGGUGUGGAAUAGGGCUCAUCUAAUGAGCACAUUUGUGCCCCCUUUAAAGACUACGAACAUUUAAGCACAUAUACGUCCGGAGAUUUUCUAGAAAAACACUGAUUAUUAUCACAGCGCAGAUGAGGCUAUGUCGGGAGGUAUUCCCCUGAGCUAUCUGUGUGGCUUCCAGAUCUCAACCUUAUUUGUUUGCUUAAAUAACACCAAAUUAGCUUAGGUUUCAAUAAAAACAAAAUGAAAGCAGAUUCCCUUCAUCUUUUCCUUGUUCUGCUCUACAAGCUGAAGGCAGGAAAGAAUCCCAUGGGCCAUUCGCCUAUGCUCUGAUCUGGCUGUGUUUACACGCUUCACCUUGAGAUGUCAGGUGGCCCCGAGGACACUUGGGCUCCAUGAAUUCCCCUCUGAAUGGACAGAUGUGGCCUGAGUGGUCAAACUGGAGUCUACAAUUAUCGGGUGGCUGCAGGGGCUCUUAUUACACCAAACCUUCCCCUACCCGUUUUUCAAUUAUCUAUGACUAAUGAGCACUCUGGGAACAGUUUCAGACACACACAUAAUCCUCUUUCCUGAUGUCAGCAGCAGAAAUUAAUGACUAUGUGGAUUGCUGGGAGACAGAAGAUGCAUUAUAAUGGUCAACAGAACUGUUACCCUCUCCAGGAAGGGGGGAGGGUGUUGAAUUAACUGGAAGGU
Molecule: long non-coding RNA, 2786 nt
Organism: Alexandromys fortis (reed vole)
Lineage: Eukaryota; Metazoa; Chordata; Mammalia; Rodentia; Cricetidae
Exons: 3
Source: RefSeq, a predicted model, not a curated record